UACAGAGGUCCCAAGCGUUGUUCGGAUUCAUUGGGCGUAAAGGGUGCGUAGGCGGCGCGGUAAGUCGGGUGUGAAAUCUCGGGGCUUAACUCCGAAACUGCAUUCGAUACUGUCGUGCUUGAGGACUGGAGAGGAGACUGGAAUUUACGGUGUAGCGGUGAAAUGCGUAGAUAUCGUAAGGAAGACCAGUGGCGAAGGCGGGUCUCUGGACAGUUUCUGACGCUGAGGCACGAAGGCCAGGGGAGCAAACGGG
Molecule: ribosomal RNA, 253 nt
Filed under: uncultured bacterium
Lineage: Bacteria
Description: partial 16S ribosomal RNA
Rfam family: Bacterial small subunit ribosomal RNA
Source: RNAcentral